RNAcentral lists this ribosomal RNA (443 nucleotides) under uncultured bacterium. Its description in RNAcentral is "partial 16S ribosomal RNA". It matches the Rfam family "Bacterial small subunit ribosomal RNA", at positions 338 to 795 of the family's 1533-position model. The record is from RNAcentral.
CCUACGGGUGGCAGCAGUGGGGAAUAUUGGGCAAUGGGCGCAAGCCUGACCCAGCAACGCCGCGUGAAGGAAGAAGGCUUUCGGGUUGUAAACUUCUUUUGUCAGGGACGAAGCAAGUGACGGUACCUGACGAAUAAGCCACGGCUAACUACGUGCCAGCAGCCGCGGUAAUACGUAGGUGGCAAGCGUUAUCCGGAUUUAUUGGGUGUAAAGGGCGUGUAGGCGGGAAUGCAAGUCAGAUGUGAAAACUAUGGGUUCAACCCAUAGCUUGCAUUUGAAACUGUAUUUCUUGAGUGCUGGAGAGGCAAUCGGAAUUCCGUGUGUAGCGGUGAAAUGCGUAGAUAGACGGAGGAACACCAGUGGCGAAGGCGGAUUGCUGGACAGUAACUGACGCUGAUGCGCGAAAGUGUGGGGAGCAAACAGGAUUAGAUACCCGAGUAGUC